Molecule: ribosomal RNA, 456 nt
Filed under: uncultured bacterium
Lineage: Bacteria
Description: bacterial SSU rRNA
Rfam family: Bacterial small subunit ribosomal RNA
Source: RNAcentral
CACAAGCGGUGGAGCAUGUGGUUUAAUUCGAAGCAACGCGAAGAACCUUACCAAAUCUUGACAUCCUCUGAUCCCUCUAGAGAUAGAGGUUUCCCCUUCGGGGGACAGAGUGACAGGUGGUGCAUGGUUGUCGUCAGCUCGUGUCGUGAGAUGUUGGGUUAAGUCCCGCAACGAGCGCAACCCUUAAGCUUAGUUGCCAUCAUUAAGUUGGGCACUCUAAGUUGACUGCCGGUGACAAACCGGAGGAAGGUGGGGAUGACGUCAAAUCAUCAUGCCCCUUAUGAUUUGGGCUACACACGUGCUACAAUGGACAAUACAAAGGGCAGCGAAACCGCGAGGUCAAGCAAAUCCCAUAAAGUUGUUCUCAGUUCGGAUUGUAGUCUGCAACUCGACUAUAUGAAGCUGGAAUCGCUAGUAAUCGUAGAUCAGCAUGCUACGGUGAAUACGUUCCCGGGC